Molecule: long non-coding RNA, 431 nt
Filed under: Elaeis guineensis (African oil palm)
Lineage: Eukaryota; Viridiplantae; Streptophyta; Magnoliopsida; Arecales; Arecaceae
Description: long non-coding RNA (EGUI_LNC045507)
Source: RNAcentral
UCCUUCUUAAUGAAGGCUCUUAAUUUUUACGCGUUGCCAUAUUUUCCCAACCAGAUCUCCUAUGUUUUAUCAUCAAAAUUUAUUAGAAUUUUAUGGUACAUAGAAGAAAGAGAGUCCUACUAUAAGUAUCUAGAAUGUCAAAAAUUCACUCGAUGAAUUUAUUCACUGCAUGGAAAGUUGAAGCACUAAAGGUUGGUGCCCCUUCAUCCCAUGUGAUGUCCCUUGGUCCCCUAUUUAUAGGGGAUGCCCCAAAUAACUGAUGGCUAAGAUUUUAGGUUAAUAUCAGAGAGGAGAGAUGUGGUAAACAUAAAAAAAAUUUAAAAAAAUUGAGAAAAAAAGAAAAAUUUGAGUGGCAAAAGUUGCAGGAAGGGUGGUGAGAUUUUUAGCAAGUAUUGCGAGUGUGCCCUAGGGUUUGAUUUUUCUAUAUAUUG